RNAcentral lists this ribosomal RNA (508 nucleotides) under uncultured Glomeromycotina. RNAcentral describes it as "SSU rRNA". It matches the Rfam family "Eukaryotic small subunit ribosomal RNA", at positions 569 to 1078 of the family's 1831-position model. Lineage: Eukaryota; Fungi; Glomeromycota. The record is from RNAcentral.
AGCAGCCGCGGUAAUUCCAGCUCCAAUAGCGUAUAUUAAAGUUGUUGCAGUUAAAAAGCUCGUAGUUGAAUUUCGGGGUCAGCAGGUUGGUCAUGCCUCUGGUAUGCACUGGUUUCGCUGAUUCCUCCUUUCUGAAGAACUGUAAUGUCAUUAAUUUGGUGUUGCAGGGAAACAGGACUGUUGCUUUGAAAAAAUUAGAGUGUUUAAAGCAAGCUAACGCCUGAAUACAUUAGCAUGGAAUAAUGAAAUAGGACGUUUGAUCCUAUUUUGUUGGUUUCUAGGAUUGACGUAAUGAUUAAUAGGGAUAGUUGGGGGCAUUAGUAUUCAAUUGUCAGAGGUGAAAUUCUUGGAUUUAUUGAAGACUAACUACUGCGAAAGUAUUUGCCAAGGAUGUUUUCAUUAAUCAAGAACGAAAGUUAGGGGAUCGAAGACGAUCAGAUACCGUCGUAGUCUUAACCAUAAACUAUGCCGACUAGGGAUCGGAUGAUGUUAAUUUUUUAAUGACUCA